CCUACGGGUGGCAGCAGUGAGGAAUAUUGGUCAAUGGGCGCGAGCCUGAACCAGCCAAGCCGCGUGCAGGAAGAAGGUACAGCGUAUCGUAAACCUCUUUUGUCAGGGGACAAAGGCGGGGACUAGUCCCCGGAUGAGGGUACCUGAAGAAAAAGCAUCGGCUAACUCCGUGCCAGCAGCCGCGGUAAUACGGAGGGUGCGAGCGUUAUCCGGAUUUAUUGGGUUUAAAGGGUGCGCAGGCGGCCUGUUAAGUCAGUGGUAAAAGCCCGGGGCCCAACCCGGGCGUGCCGGUGAAACUGGGGGGCUGGAGUUGGAGAGAGGUAGGCGGAAUGCGUGGUGUAGCGGUGAAAUGCUUAGAUAUCGCGCAGAACCCCGAUUGCGAAGGCAGCGUACCGGCUCCACACUGACGCUGAGGCACGAAAGUGUGGGUAUCGAACAGGAUUAGAUACCCUUGUAGUC
This 459-nucleotide ribosomal RNA is filed under the name uncultured bacterium. RNAcentral's name for it is "partial 16S ribosomal RNA". It matches the Rfam family "Bacterial small subunit ribosomal RNA", at positions 338 to 795 of the family's 1533-position model. The record is from RNAcentral.